UUUUUGCUGUGAAAACCAAGCAGCCCCCGGGGAGACGGGAUAGGGGCAGAAAUCAUAGAAUGCAUCGGAUUGGAAGAGGCCCUCGAAGGUCAUCUUGUCCGAGUCCUCCACAAUGAGGUAAUAGAGGAGUGCCCUGCUGAAGCGCAGCUUGGAAACAAGAUGAGAACCGCGGGACUUGGAAACUGCAUUUGCUUCAUGCAGUUUUCAGUGUUGGAGGCGGGUUUGGGUAUGUGUUUCGUUGGUGCUGCUUCUUGGGGAGGGGAUUGUUGUCUUGUUUGGGAGUGUUCUUUUAUUUGUGGUUGCGUGGGGUUGUUUUUUUGUGUUUUGUUUGGGUUUGUGUUCAGUUUGGUUGGUUUGUUUGAGAGGGGUCGUUUGCUUUUUGUUUUUCAGAAACAGGCAGAGGAGUUUUAAACGACUUUUUAUCUAUCUCUUGUUGAAAGAAACAUUAUUAGGCAUUGAUCAACUGCUAUUCAGAGGUGAACUUUAUUAAAAGCCAUACUGAACUUCCAGACUUAGAACUAGGUUUAAAAGAUUUGAAGAUUACUUGUGGUUAAUUAAUAACCUCCAUUUGUUUAAUGUAGAGUAGAAAGAAGUGUAACCUCUUCUGUUUGUGCAUAUCUAGUACGGGGUUUCGGGGAGAGAUUGAGUCUGAAACAGAAGCUCCUGAUUGGGCCAUUUCAUAAUCCAGUGUCUGGAAACAGAGGGUUCCCAGGCUUUACUUUUGCUUUAGGAAACACAUUGUGAGAAAGAGGCAUGGACCUUUUAUUUCAGGACCAAUUUUCACACCCAGGUGCCUGAGAAGGGAGCUUGAAUGGUUUUCUUUCUAGGAAACCAGUGGGGGAAGGCUUUUCCCCCCCUACUGAUGUUUGAAAAGGUACUCAAAAGCACAUGCAUUCCAACAUGUUAUUUACAAGUGAGAUUCAGGCAGCUUGAAAUUUAAAGUAGAAAUUUCUGUUGUCUUCUUCAAUGGAAAUGAGUUACUCAGUGAUCACAAAAUUCACCAGUUUGUUUUCUGUCUUUCUUGAUGCUUGGGUUGAUGUCCAUAAAGAACUCAGAUUGUUCUCAUAGUAGUUCAUAGCUAAUAGUGUGGUUUCUGUGUCAUCAGCAGUAUUUUCAUUAGGUGUUUGCUUGCUUGUUUGUUUUAGCAUUUUUAAACUAAUGUUGGCAAAGUGAUGAGUUCUGGAUAACAAUUCCUCCCCUUCUUCAGAUAAAAUACAAUUGGAAUAUUUGUGUGUAGUUAGAAGAUACAGUUCCUCUUCCUGAAUGGUUUCCCACAUUUAAUGUAGAAAGGCUAUGUACUCUUCUAUCUCAUGUCACUCUGCUUGCUAGGAAUGAAUGUAUCUUGUCUGCACACCAUAGUUCAAUAAAGUACUAUAUAUAUUAAGAGUGAGAAA
Long non-coding RNA from Pogoniulus pusillus (Red-fronted tinkerbird), 1394 nucleotides. RefSeq lists it as uncharacterized. The transcript is spliced from 2 exons. NCBI's taxonomy places the organism in Eukaryota, Metazoa, Chordata, Aves, Piciformes, Lybiidae. The record is from RefSeq and is a predicted model, not a curated record.